RNAcentral lists this unclassified non-coding RNA (318 nucleotides) under uncultured fungus. RNAcentral describes it as "sequence contains ITS2". Lineage: Eukaryota; Fungi. The record is from RNAcentral.
AACGCACAUUGCACCCUCUGGCAUUCCGGAGGGUAUGCCUGUUUGAGUAUCAUUAAUAUCUCAACACAGACAGAUUAACCUCUGUUCUGUUGCUUUGGAUGUUGAAGGCUUGCUGGUGUAAACCGGCUCCUUUAAAAUGCAUUAGCGGAAACCAUGCACUAAACUGGCUUCAGUAUGAUAAGGUCUUAUCUGUAUUACUGUCGCUUGUGGAUAAGCAAAAUUUAUUGUUUCAGCUUCUAAUUGCCCUAUGGGCUGUCUCCUAUGAGGCAUACUUUGAUACUUGAUCUCAAAUCAGGUAGGACUACCCGCUGAACUUAA